AAGCAUGUGAAGAUGCUGGUAAGCCACGAGCCACGUGGCAAGGAGCUGACUCCAGAGAUGAUCGGAAAGUGAGAGGCAUGUAUUCCCUCCCGAGGAGCCGACUCCAGAGAUGAUCGGAAAGUGAGAGGUUGCCACUGUUGUACCAAUGGGCCCGUCUUACCUGUCUGCCUCUCUUUUCCUGGACUCCUUGGGGGCAACAGCUGUUUACAUUAUCUCUCGUCUCAUUUUGUGCAUUAUCUACAGGAAACAGCAGUUCAUUGGCUUUUGUUAACUGGCAAGAUAGCCUUUCUUUGUUUUAAACAAUUUCUGGCCGGUAGGAAUGAAUCCUUUCCUCUCUAAUUUUCCAAUUGUGUCAGCACAGUACUCCUUGAUAGCGACAGGCUUUGCCUCCAGCCUCCACCGUAAGGUGACGUAGGAUGGCAUGCCAUGCUGGGCAGCACAGUGUGUCCUGCAAAACUGCAUUCCUCGGUGAUCAAUGGUCAUCAAAGAGGAGUCUUCUAAUCUGCCUCCCCAGCCAUUUAGUAACAACAACAACAACAAAAAAAAUCAUCUUAUCCUGUGAGCCACACCCAACACUGGGGGCCGGGACUGGUCCGUGAGGCGGAGUUCCCUGAUGCUGACAGGCACAUCACUAACUAGGUGGUGGUUGGCCCAAUCCUGCGUGCGCGUUUGAUACUACUUGUGGGGUCUGCGGGGAACUAUAGCCACCCUCCCGCCUACCCUGGGAAUUUUGUCUAGAUCUUAGCUGUCUUUUGUCAGAAAAGCAUAAGAUUAUUCUCCUUAAUUUUAUUUGUACGCCAGGGUGUGGUGACAGAGAACUUCAGCUCCAGUACUCAGCAGGCAGAUCUGUGAGAACUCCCUGAGAGUGUGAGGCCAGCCUGGACUACGUAGUGAGUUCCAGGCCGGUGGGGCGCCAUAGUGAGAUCCUCUCUCCAAGACCAAACAAACAAAGACUGAUUUGUGAUGGGACUGUGUACUACGUGGGAAGGGCACAUCAAGGAAGACUACGUUUUCUCACUCUGGCGGCAGAUUGUGUCAGUAACGGAUGUCGGACGGUGUUUUUGUCCCUGGAAAGCCUUUCAUGAAAACCAUGGAUUAAGUUGCAGUGUUGGAAUCUGCUUCUGGGGUGACAGUGAUCUCUGUCAAUGGCUGCCUAAGGAGCUCCACUUCGGUUUGGUUCUUUUAGUUCUGUAAUACAUUUCGCAGAGAGUAGAGCUAGUGUGUCCAUAAAAUAAUUUAGGGAUGUGUGGUAGCAUUUAGCUCGAUCCCUCCCACACCCAGCAUGGCGCCUCCACUCCUCCUUACCAGGGGACAAAAUGAAAAAUGGUGAACAUUCAGGUUCCCUGGCAGGAGGUGAGCCGAUGUGGGUGAAGCUCUAGGCAGUGUACUGAAGUGGGGUGUCAGUGGGUGGGGUUCUAGUCAGUGUACUGAAGUGGGGUGUCAGUGGGGUUCUAGUCAGUGUACUGAAGUGGGGUGUCAGUGGGGUUCUAGGCAGUGUACUGAAGUGGGGUGUCAGUGGGUGGGGUUCUAGGCAGUGUACUGAAGUGGGGUGUCAGUGGGGUUCUGGAAAAGCCACUGCUUUGCUGAUAAAGUACAGUUUUGAUGGCUGCCUCUCCUACCCCCCUCUCCUUCCCCCUUCCCCAUCUUGUCUUGAAAGCAGAUUUAUGGUAGCCAUCCUGAGUUUAAGGAGCAUUUUACUCGAGUUUACAAAAAAAGAUAAGCCAGUGAGGUCAGGGAGCCUUUUACAACUCUGUGGAAUGAUAGUUUAUGAAGUAGCAUUUCUCUAUAAUUAUGGGGAAAAUUAGGCAAAUACUAGCUAAAUUCUGAGAGAGAGUUUUCUGUUUGUUUGUUCAUUUACUUAAUAAUUCUUGGUUAAAGAUUUCCUCGAUGCAAAGUAUAAAGAUUAAAUAAAUGACCUCAUUGUCAAAGGUCAAUUCAUGCACA
Peromyscus leucopus (white-footed mouse) is the source of this 1944-nucleotide long non-coding RNA. RefSeq lists it as uncharacterized. NCBI's taxonomy places the organism in Eukaryota, Metazoa, Chordata, Mammalia, Rodentia, Cricetidae. The record is from RefSeq and is a predicted model, not a curated record. The transcript is spliced from 4 exons.